Molecule: ribosomal RNA, 627 nt
Filed under: uncultured Aureobasidium
Lineage: Eukaryota; Fungi; Ascomycota; Dothideomycetes; Dothideales; Dothioraceae
Description: eukaryotic LSU rRNA
Rfam family: 5.8S ribosomal RNA (bases 242-395)
Source: RNAcentral
AGACAUUGGAAGUAAAAGUCGUAACAAGGUUUCCGUAGGUGAACCUGCGGAAGGAUCAUUAAAGAGUAAGGGUGCUCAGCGCCCGACCUCCAACCCUUUGUUGUUAAAACUACCUUGUUGCUUUGGCGGGACCGCUCGGUCUCGAGCCGCUGGGGAUUCGUCCCAGGCGAGCGCCCGCCAGAGUUAGACCAAACUCUUGUUAUUUAACCGGUCGUCUGAGUUAAAAUUUUGAAUAAAUCAAAACUUUCAACAACGGAUCUCUUGGUUCUCGCAUCGAUGAAGAACGCAGCGAAAUGCGAUAAGUAAUGUGAAUUGCAGAAUUCAGUGAAUCGUCGAAUCUUUGAACGCACAUUGCGCCCCUUGGUAUUCCGAGGGGCAUGCCUGUUCGAGCGUCAUUACACCACUCAAGCUAUGCUUGGUAUUGGGCGUCGUCCUUAGUUGGGCGCGCCUUAAAGACCUCGGCGAGGCCACUCCGGCUUUAGGCGUAGUAGAAUUUAUUCGAACGUCUGUCAAAGGAGAGGAACUCUGCCGACUGAAACCUUUAUUUUUCUAGGUUGACCUCGGAUCAGGUAGGGAUACCCGCUGAACUUAAGCAUAUCAAUAAGCGGAGGAAAUGUCUGAAUUCGA